RNAcentral lists this ribosomal RNA (419 nucleotides) under uncultured Prevotella sp. RNAcentral's name for it is "bacterial SSU rRNA". It matches the Rfam family "Bacterial small subunit ribosomal RNA", at positions 358 to 774 of the family's 1533-position model. Lineage: Bacteria; Pseudomonadati; Bacteroidota; Bacteroidia; Bacteroidales; Prevotellaceae. The record is from RNAcentral.
GGAAUAUUGGUCAAUGGGCGUAAGCCUGAACCAGCCAAGUAGCGUGCGGGACGACGGCCCUAUGGGUUGUAAACCGCUUUUGCAGGGGAAUAAAGUGUGGGACGUGUCCCAUUUUGCAUGUACCCUGAGAAUAAGGACCGGCUAAUUCCGUGCCAGCAGCCGCGGUAAGACGGAAGGUCCGGGCGUUAUCCGGAUUUAUUGGGUUUAAAGGGAGCGCAGGCCGUUGAUUAAGCGUGACGUGAAAUGCCGCGGCUCAACCGUGGAAGUGCGUCGCGAACUGGUUGACUUGAGUGCGUGCGACGCCGGCGGAAUUCGUGGUGUAGCGGUGAAAUGCUUAGAUAUCACGAAGAACCCCGAUUGCGAAGGCAGCCGGCGAGUCCGUAACUGACGCUAAAGCUCGAAGGUGCGGGUAUCGAACA